UACAUGGGGUGCAAACGUUGCUCGGAAUUAUUGGGCGUAAAGCGCACGUAGGCGGUUCGUUAAGUCGGAUGUGAAAGCCCUCGGCUCAACUGAGGAAGUGCACCCGAAACUGGCGAGCUUGAGUACGAAAGAGGAUCGCGGAAUUCCCGGUAUAGAGGUGAAAUUCGUAGAUAUCGGGAGGAACACCGGUGGCGAAGGCGGCGAUCUGGGUCGAUACUGACGCUGAGACGCGAAAGCGUGGGGAGCGAACAGG
RNAcentral lists this ribosomal RNA (253 nucleotides) under uncultured bacterium. RNAcentral's name for it is "partial 16S ribosomal RNA". It matches the Rfam family "Bacterial small subunit ribosomal RNA", at positions 524 to 776 of the family's 1533-position model. The record is from RNAcentral.